GUUUUCCCUCCCACCCGCCAUUUUAUGUUCAAACGCGGUUGUUUGCUGUGGCUACAGGUAUGCGAUGGAGCGGUUGUAAAAUUGUCAUAUAAUAGUGCCAGUUUAGCUCAUUUUAGAAGCUGUGCUGUAAAGUACGUAAUCGCUGGCGUUUUAAACGAUACAACGAGACGUUGUAUCGUUCUUCAUGCAUUUUUGAAGAAGUAAUCAAGCUAUCGAUUCUUUGGCUUGUUUCACUAGCAGCCAUCUCGUCUUUCCAGCGAAAUGAGUUACGGUAGACCCCCACCCGAUGUUGAGGGUAUGACUUCUCUGAAAGUGGACAAUCUGACGUAUAGAACUUCGCCUGAGACUUUAAGGCGAGUAUUUGAGAAGUAUGGUCGGGUUGGAGACGUGUACAUCCCCCGGGAUCGCUAUACGAAGGAAAGCCGAGGAUUCGCCUUUGUACGGUUCCACGACAAACGGGACGCAGAAGACGCUAUGGACGCCAUGGAUGGUGCCGUACUCGAUGGGCGCGAAUUGCGCGUGCAGAUGGCCCGGUAUGGACGCCCCCCAGAUUCUCAUUACGGUCGUCGCGGAGGGCCCCCCCGGAGGCACGGGGGCUAUGGAAGACGAAGCAGAAGCUUCUCCCCCAGCCCACGACGCCGGAGGCGCAGCCGGUCCAGAAGCAGGAGCCGUUCUCGCAGUCGCUCGCGAUACAGCAGAUCACGGUCCAGGUCCUACUCCCGGUCACGCUCCCGCUCAAAGUCCCGCACGCCCCGCAGGAGCAAGUCUAAAUCCGCAUCCAGGUCCCGUUCCAGGUCUAAAUCCAAGACCAAAUCCCGCUCCAGGAGCCGCACACCUCCUUCCAAUAGACCAUCCAAGUCCAGAUCAAGAUCAAAAAGCCAGCCCAAAUCCCCAGAGGAGGAUGGACCCGCGACCUAAUUAAGCAACCGCAAGAGUAAGGCUGGAGAUCUACUAACACAGUUUGUGGUUUCAAGGGUUUAGUCAGUUGAAAAACGCAAGCAUGCUGAAAUAGUAAUGAACAGAUCUGUCUGCAGCUUCUUGCUCACAGAGCAAAGGUGUCCAAGAUAGAUUGACUUAAUGUUAAUGUACAACUUUGAGGUGUCUCCCUUGGGCAAGUCUGUCUGGCAUUGUGUGGCCUUAAAUUUAGUACUUUAAACUGAUUCUUUAAACAUGAACUGCAACCCUAGCUGGUAGCAGUGAAAAAUGUAUCGUCAGCUCCCAGUGAACACAAGAGUGAUUCUUACUAGCAGUCAUUGAUGCCUUUGACAUACCUGCUUAAAGGGUGGAAAGGUUCCUAGAACCAUUCCAGUGAAUUAAGAUUAUUACAUAGCAUCUAAUGCAUUUAACUUUUGCUGCUUAUGUUUUAGCUUCCAUUUGAAAAUAAUUAACCUCAGUGAAUGUAUGUGUUCUGGGGUGAGGCUGGGAGGGGGUGGUAAAUAUGAAUGCAAAGGAGUAGAAUUAGUCAUUUUAUUUUUUGUAAAUAUCUGAAAAUGGUUUUGGGUUUAAAAUAUUCACCAAAAAUGUGGAAUUCUCUCCUCAAAGCUGCUGUUUCCUGUUUGCAAAAAUGGAGUUUGGGGCAGUUUGAGCAGUUAGUGUGUGAUCCGCCCAUGGGCUGCCUGCUGCUGUUGGGGGUUGCUAUGGAGCAGGUCGGUCUGUCAGUGUUGAGGUGGUGUUGAGAUUUCAGAUUGAGAUUUCACCAUGGACAACCCAUUGGAAGUAAAGGCCUCAGGAUUCUCCAUCCUGCCAUGGUUUCUGAUUAAAAGGUUAUUGUCACUGUCUAAAGGUUUUAGAUACAUUUUUAUUUAAGGCUUGCUUGUGCCACCUAUCCCAAUCUCCUAUACAUUUUUUGAAAAGGAUAACCCUCAGAUGUGCAAUUGUUGUAAAUCAAAACAGCUUCUGUUAAUCAUAUAGUGCAGUUUUAUUUUUGUAUUUGUGGAGUACAUCAGUAGUAUUAAGUAUCUUAAGUACAUUCAAUUAUUGCAUAUUGUAUGUAGAAUAUAUGACAGAGGGCUGAUCAUUUCAUUGCCCUUGUUUGGCUUUGGAAUGUGAAUCUCACUAUCAAAAUGAUUUGAAUUGCAUGUCAAGUAGCACUAACAUUAUAGUAGUGCAUGUGUAUAUGAAGGAUUUCAGUGUGUACAUCAGAGUCGGAAGGGGUCUUAGGGGAACAAAGUUUUUCAGUCUAAAGUGGAGGGGGAAUGAAAAUGUUCUCUUAUUUAUAAAAAUUUUUUUAUCUUAAUUUAGAAUUGGUCAUUUUGUAAUUCUAAUCCUCUCUCUUGUAUUUUUUGUGCAUUAGGCGCAGUUGUGUAGCAGUUGAGUAUUGCUGGUUAGCUGUUAAGGUGGCGUGUUGCAGUGCAGAGAGCUUGGCUGUUUCCAGUUUUCUCCUGGUUGCUCCUGUGUUACGAUGCCUUGGUGUGCCUUGAUGUGUAAAACGGCUGCAGCAGAUUAUCCUUUAAAAUACUGGUCACCUGCAUUUCCUGACAUCGGAAUGUCCUUAUUUUCUUCCUCAGCCAAAUGGAACAUUUAGAACAGUGUUCACAUUUUGCCAGUCACAUUUCUUUUAGACUACCUCCCCCUUAAAAUAAGCUUACAGAAAAUAUUAGCUGCAUUUUGUAGCCUGUUCUUAGACCCUUCCAUUAACUUUCCUGAAGAUAUUCUGUAUUUGUAACUUUGAAUGCUAAUAAACAAUUUUCUGUAAGUUGUCACAUUAA
This is an RNA transcript of Conger conger (European conger), 2708 nucleotides long. It is a transcript of the gene named serine and arginine rich splicing factor 2a, with no coding region annotated. The transcript has 3 exons. NCBI's taxonomy places the organism in Eukaryota, Metazoa, Chordata, Actinopteri, Anguilliformes, Congridae. The record is from RefSeq and is a predicted model, not a curated record.